GAUGAACGCUGGCGGCGCGCCUAACACAUGCAAGUCGAACGGCACCCCUCUCCGGAGGGAAGCGAGUGGCGAACGGCUGAGUAACACGUGGAGAACCUGCCCCCUCCCCCGGGAUAGCCGCCCGAAAGGACGGGUAAUACCGGAUACCCCGGGGUGCCGCAUGGCACCCCGGCUAAACCCCGACGGGAGGGGAUGGCUCCGCGGCCCAUCAGGUAGACGGCGGGGUGACGGCCCACCGUGCCGACAACGGGUAGCCGGGUUGAGAGACCGACCGGCCAGAUUGGGACUGAGACGCGGCCCAGACUCCUACGGGAGGCAGCAGUGGGGAAUCUUGCGCAAUGGGGGGAACCCUGACGCAGCGACGCCGCGUGCGGGACGGAGGCCUUCGGGUCGUAAACCGCUUUCAGCAGGGAAGAGUCAAGACUGUAC
Molecule: ribosomal RNA, 429 nt
Filed under: uncultured bacterium
Lineage: Bacteria
Description: bacterial SSU rRNA
Rfam family: Bacterial small subunit ribosomal RNA
Source: RNAcentral